GGUGGCAGUUCCCAACCUCACACCCUCACACCCCGCCACCCAGGAGAUCAGAGGGACUUUCUGUAGGUAACACUAGGGUCCCUGAACCAACCAGUGCGGCCAGGAGGAUGGAACCCACUGGGUGAGUCUCCCUGAGCAGUCUGUCACAGGAUCAAGACACAAUGACAGAACGAUGACCUCACCCCCUACUUCACUCAGAAAACAGAAACUGCCAGUGGAGAUUCCCAGAACCAGGAGCUAUUUCCCAAAUGUACCUGCUCCCAGGCCCAUCCUGUCUUGCUCUAAUUAUCUUACAAGGAGCUCCCCUCCUCCCAUCCAAGGGAACCCCUCCUCCUGUGGAUCUACCCUGCCAGACACAGGAACCUGGCUCCCUUGUCACCUCCUCCAGCCUCUGUCUCUCUACUCGCUCCUGCCCAUCAGCUGUUGAUGGGCAAAAACGUCUCCCUCCUUUCAAAAGAGAAACAUAACACAUCUAUCGACUAUC
Molecule: long non-coding RNA, 484 nt
Organism: Leopardus geoffroyi (Geoffroy's cat)
Lineage: Eukaryota; Metazoa; Chordata; Mammalia; Carnivora; Felidae
Exons: 4
Source: RefSeq, a predicted model, not a curated record